This 380-nucleotide long non-coding RNA is filed under the name Heterocephalus glaber (naked mole-rat). RNAcentral describes it as "lncRNA (ENSHGLG00100039288.1)". The record is from RNAcentral. Lineage: Eukaryota; Metazoa; Chordata; Mammalia; Rodentia; Bathyergidae.
GGCAGGGGAGGAGCUUUUCAUUUGGCUAUGUGAACUCCAGUCAGCUGAGAGUCAGAGCUGGAGAAAUGCUGCUUUUUCAGGUUGCCCAUGAGACACAGAAAAGAGGGCUGAGUUUCUGUCAUCUGGCAAGAAGAUCCAAUAAACAUGCUGUUUUUUUCUCCAAAGAACACAUGAGAUAAGUGAUGAAGAAAGAAUGCAAGUGUUGAAGCAAUAGCAAUAGCAACCAUGACCAGAAAACCUGCUAUAACUUCAGAAUUGUAGAUAUAAGGUCAUGAACUUACUAUCUUCCCAUGGAUUGACAGCCUAUCCUUGUUCUGCCUGGCUCACUAGAGGCAUGCAUCUCUCCAAGGAGCCAACAUCUUGAUUGACAAGGGGAUGAG